This is a non-coding RNA of Planctomycetes bacterium GWF2_41_51, 71 nucleotides long. NCBI's taxonomy places the organism in Bacteria, Pseudomonadati, Planctomycetota. The record is from Rfam.
GCGGGCGUAGCUUAAUGGUAAAGCUCCAGCCUUCCAAGCUGGUAAUGUGAGUUCGAUUCUCAUCGCCCGCU